Molecule: ribosomal RNA, 2235 nt
Filed under: Staphylococcus aureus MSSA-37
Lineage: Bacteria; Bacillati; Bacillota; Bacilli; Caryophanales; Staphylococcaceae
Also listed under: 2 other names
Description: bacterial LSU rRNA
Rfam family: Bacterial large subunit ribosomal RNA
Source: RNAcentral
UUAAGUUAUUAAGGGCGCACGGUGGAUGCCUUGGCACUAGAAGCCGAUGAAGGACGUUACUAACGACGAUAUGCUUUGGGGAGCUGUAAGUAAGCUUUGAUCCAGAGAUUUCCGAAUGGGGAAACCCAGCAUGAGUUAUGUCAUGUUAUCGAUAUGUGAAUACAUAGCAUAUCAGAAGGCACACCCGGAGAACUGAAACAUCUUAGUACCCGGAGGAAGAGAAAGAAAAUUCGAUUCCCUUAGUAGCGGCGAGCGAAACGGGAAGAGCCCAAACCAACAAGCUUGCUUGUUGGGGUUGUAGGACACUCUAUACGGAGUUACAAAGGACGACAUUAGACGAAUCAUCUGGAAAGAUGAAUCAAAGAAGGUAAUAAUCCUGUAGUCGAAAAUGUUGUCUCUCUUGAGUGGAUCCUGAGUACGACGGAGCACGUGAAAUUCCGUUGGAAUCUGGGAGGACCAUCUCCUAAGGCUAAAUACUCUCUAGUGACCGAUAGUGAACCAGUACCGUGAGGGAAAGGUGAAAAGCACCCCGGAAGGGGAGUGAAAUAGAACCUGAAACCGUGUGCUUACAAGUAGUCAGAGCCCGUUAAUGGGUGAUGGCGUGCCUUUUGUAGAAUGAACCGGCGAGUUACGAUUUGAUGCAAGGUUAAGCAGUAAAUGUGGAGCCGUAGCGAAAGCGAGUCUGAAUAGGGCGUUUAGUAUUUGGUCGUAGACCCGAAACCAGGUGAUCUACCCUUGGUCAGGUUGAAGUUCAGGUAACACUGAAUGGAGGACCGAACCGACUUACGUUGAAAAGUGAGCGGAUGAACUGAGGGUAGCGGAGAAAUUCCAAUCGAACCUGGAGAUAGCUGGUUCUCUCCGAAAUAGCUUUAGGGCUAGCCUCAAGUGAUGAUUAUUGGAGGUAGAGCACUGUUUGGACGAGGGGCCCCUCUCGGGUUACCGAAUUCAGACAAACUCCGAAUGCCAAUUAAUUUAACUUGGGAGUCAGAACAUGGGUGAUAAGGUCCGUGUUCGAAAGGGAAACAGCCCAGACCACCAGCUAAGGUCCCAAAAUAUAUGUUAAGUGGAAAAGGAUGUGGCGUUGCCCAGACAACUAGGAUGUUGGCUUAGAAGCAGCCAUCAUUUAAAGAGUGCGUAAUAGCUCACUAGUCGAGUGACACUGCGCCGAAAAUGUACCGGGGCUAAACAUAUUACCGAAGCUGUGGAUUGUCCUUUGGACAAUGGUAGGAGAGCGUUCUAAGGGCGUUGAAGCAUGAUCGUAAGGACAUGUGGAGCGCUUAGAAGUGAGAAUGCCGGUGUGAGUAGCGAAAGACGGGUGAGAAUCCCGUCCACCGAUUGACUAAGGUUUCCAGAGGAAGGCUCGUCCGCUCUGGGUUAGUCGGGUCCUAAGCUGAGGCCGACAGGCGUAGGCGAUGGAUAACAGGUUGAUAUUCCUGUACCACCUAUAAUCGUUUUAAUCGAUGGGGGGACGCAGUAGGAUAGGCGAAGCGUGCGAUUGGAUUGCACGUCUAAGCAGUAAGGCUGAGUAUUAGGCAAAUCCGGUACUCAUUAAGGCUGAGCUGUGAUGGGGAGAAGACAUUGUGUCUUCGAGUCGUUGAUUUCACACUGCCGAGAAAAGCCUCUAGAUAGAAAAUAGGUGCCCGUACCGCAAACCGACACAGGUAGUCAAGAUGAGAAUUCUAAGGUGAGCGAGCGAACUCUCGUUAAGGAACUCGGCAAAAUGACCCCGUAACUUCGGGAGAAGGGGUGCUCUUUAGGGUUAACGCCCAGAAGAGCCGCAGUGAAUAGGCCCAAGCGACUGUUUAUCAAAAACACAGGUCUCUGCUAAACCGUAAGGUGAUGUAUAGGGGCUGACGCCUGCCCGGUGCUGGAAGGUUAAGAGGAGUGGUUAGCUUCUGCGAAGCUACGAAUCGAAGCCCCAGUAAACGGCGGCCGUAACUAUAACGGUCCUAAGGUAGCGAAAUUCCUUGUCGGGUAAGUUCCGACCCGCACGAAAGGCGUAACGAUUUGGGCACUGUCUCAACGAGAGACUCGGUGAAAUCAUAGUACCUGUGAAGAUGCAGGUUACCCGCGACAGGACGGAAAGACCCCGUGGAGCUUUACUGUAGCCUGAUAUUGAAAUUCGGCACAGCUUGUACAGGAUAGGUAGGAGCCUUUGAAACGUGAGCGCUAGCUUACGUGGAGGCGCUGGUGGGAUACUACCCUAGCUGUGUUGGCUUUCUAACCCGCACCACU